UACAGAGGUCCCGAGCGUUGUUCGGAUUUAUUGGGCGUAAAGGGUGCGUAGGCGGUCCGGUAAGUCCGCUGUGAAAGUCGAGGGCUCAACCCUCGAAUGCCGGUGGAUACUGUCGGGCUUGAGUACGGGAGAGGCGAGUGGAAUUCCUGGUGUAGCGGUGAAAUGCGCAGAUAUCAGGAGGAACACCGAUUGCGAAGGCAGCUCGCUGGAACGUUACUGACGCUGAGACGCGAAAGCGUGGGGAGCAAACAGG
Molecule: ribosomal RNA, 253 nt
Filed under: uncultured bacterium
Lineage: Bacteria
Description: partial 16S ribosomal RNA
Rfam family: Bacterial small subunit ribosomal RNA
Source: RNAcentral